Molecule: long non-coding RNA, 4595 nt
Organism: Solenopsis invicta (red fire ant)
Lineage: Eukaryota; Metazoa; Arthropoda; Insecta; Hymenoptera; Formicidae
Exons: 2
Source: RefSeq, a predicted model, not a curated record
UUUUAAUGGUAGCCAUAUCAACGUAGUAAUUAAUAUUGUUCAGAUAGCAUUAGGAGGGUAUCGACGAUACGUUUUCGAUAGAAAUAUAAUUUCGACACUUUAUAAAUUAUAGUAAUAUUUUUCAUAUUUUUCUUCUCUCUUUUCGUUUUAUACAUCUCGCGUGUCUCGUAUGUUGAGUAUUGGAUUCGUUGUAAUUUUGAUAAGAUUAUAUAAAAAAUACACAUCUCGGAAUUCGCUUCAGCUUACCGUAAUGUGUGUAUCCGGAUAAUUAAUCUUUUAAGGUGAUUGUUAUUUCAUACGUACAUAUCGAGAGUGCGCGACGAGAGUGAGCAAAACUCUUAAGCGCGCGCACGUUUUCAAUAUAAUAUACCCACCUUUCGACAUGUGUCUGAAGCAGUAUAGCUGCAGAUGUAAUAAUCGUGGGCGUAAACAUUUUGUUUCUGUACACUAGGCAGAAGCACUGUACGUUGCUCACAAGGCAUUUCGCACGAUGGGAGAAACGGGAGAAGGAUAGGAAGGAGCGAAUGGAUGCAUUAGUGGUCUUCUUAAUACGUAACGACGGUAUUUAAGUUUACACAUUUAUGCGGAUGCAGAAAUGCUUGUGGCGCUAAAUCCAAGCUAAAUAAACGCUCUAUUUAUAUACUAAAUUGAAAAUAUAGAAGAGGAAGGACUAAUCAACUUAACGUCUCUUGAAGCAUUAUUUACUUUCUUUAUCUCUUUCAUUUUUGUUAGAUACCGAAUUAGAAUAGUAAAAGAAAACUAAAAUUUUCACAAGCUUGCUUAAGCUACGUCCCUCUACGUUUAUUUAUUUAUAUGCUUAAUUCCAGUGUACGUGUGAGGGUAUUGCAUCAAAAAUGCGUGAAGCGCGUAAUCAACGAUUGGCAACAGGUAGCCAUUGUGUAAAAAUGGUAUGACGGUAUUUAAUUAAAUCGAUAUUUGGCGAGUGCCAUGAGACGGCGAUCUAGUUUAUAAAUAGCAUCGGGAAAUUGUUGAAACGAUAUAUUAUAGACUCACAUAAUAAACAUAAAAAGAAUUAAUUUACAAAAAUAUAUUGUAAAAAAAUUUGGAAACAAUUUUCCACGAGAAAAUGUUGUUUGAUAGCAAGGAGAAAAAAAAAGAGAGAAAAUAGAAGUGAGAGCGUUCUUUUUUUUUUAUUCACGCAUAAUGCAGUCCUAGGAGGAAGCAAAGGAGAAUGAUAAAGUAGUCGUUGAUUGCUUCGUCAUUUAAUACAGUUGUAUACAUAUACGCAGAGAACAAUGCAGAUGAAUGGGGCACUUAACAAAAGAAUAUUAAACAAGGGAGAACAAGUGUUAAUGCAUUAGAUCAUUGUACAAAGGAAAAAUUGCGGAGGAAGAAUCGUAAUACAUGUUUCAAAUUUAUACACAAGUAUGUGUGAUAACAUAUUUCAUCGAAUUAUUACACAUGUGUGCAUUGCUCUAGAAAUUGUUUAAUUCACGUUAAAUCAAACUGACGUUCAAGAGGAUUUAAAUGUUCCAUUUUCGUUCGUGGAUACCAAAGUUGUAUUGCACAGAGCAGCAAUGCAGGUAUAGUCAUAAUGAUAUAAUCGAUACGAAGAAAGAGAUAACACGUAUAAUUCUUCCUCAUAAGCACCUCCGUGAGCAUCCAUACAUUUUAAAUAUAGUAAAUUAUAAAAUAAAAGAGCACAACUAAAAAUCGGUAUACAUGUAUUAUAUAUACCGGAAGCCAAAGUUGCUUUUAAUCGUUCAAUGUUUUCCGUGGUUGCCUCUUUACUUUUUUUAUACUUGGUAAACAAUAAGUCAUAAAAAUAUUUUUAUCGAAUUAUUUUAUAGUAUCGGCAAUUUAACAUCUCGUGUAACUUUAUGCGAAAAGAGUGCAUCCUUAUUACGAGAGAAGAAUUGUCCCGGAGAAACAAUUGGAUGUGAGCUUCUAGUCGGCAUCGAGAUGUGUGCUUUAGAUUAGACUUUAUGCGUCAGAUGUCCCGCAUACGUCGUCGUCGGCUAGAAUCAUGCAGAGGAAAAUUCGUUGCCCUUAUUAUUUCAACGAAGACUGCACUUCGUCCGUAUACGUGUACCGAGAUAAAGGAUUCAAAUAUCUAUAUCUUUGCCAUCCGAUAAGAGAGGAAUACUAGUAAACGAGUAAACUAUUCAUUAAAAUAUUAAAUUAAUUCUUAUUGCGCUUAGGUAUUGCUUUUUUGUUGGAAAAAAUCUUAUAACUAAAUCUUUCACUAUUACAUAAAGAUUAAAUUAUUAGAAUAACAUCUGCAUUUGUGUGUUUUUUUUUUUUUUUUUUUUUAAACGCAAUCCGACUGAUUUUUCUCGCAAGUACUUCUUUACUGCCACUUCGCCGCUGUUUAUCUCAUUAACAUAUAUGUAUAAGUCAUCGAAACUAUAAGCUUCACUAUUUCACUAGAUAAUUGAAAUGAUCAAGAAUGCUCGCCAUCUAUUCUUGUGGCAGGAGAUGCUGCGAUGAUGAUACUGCGUUACCUAAAAUGGUAGAUGCGUAAUCCCGAGUGGGCGCUGACACGAAAUACAGGGGAUAAAAUUUCUCGAACGAGUGAUACACGAUCGAGUCUCGUCGAAAGGGAACUCGACGGAUCGACAGAUCGUUUUAUGACGCGAUCAUCUGUCGAAGAAUAGCGUAAUUUCCAGGAAAGAAUUUUAAAGAAAAAUAGAAUGUCAUGUCGGGGCCAAGAUUUUAUCCGGUAUCAGAUGAAAGAUCAAAGGACUCCAACGUCGAUCGUCCGCACCAACGCUGCGCGAUUUCAAAUUUCUUCAUCAAUGUUUAAUCAGUCGAAAUAAUUAAAUGCAAUCAAGGAGAUGUUAUCUAUAUGAGGAAAUAUGACAAAGCUAGACGAAAAGACUAAAGAAUAAAAACGACAUUUCCAACUAGGUAUACGUUAGAGCUUGAAUUAUUAUACGUACGUACGAGAAUAAUUCGCAGUGUUGCUAUUUUCGGAGAUUUCUCGUGAUCCGUUUCUAGGCUAGUGCAGAACGUAUUCGUUUGUCAUGGAUUUAAGCUGAGAAAUUUCCGCUCUUCAUUCUCGCUGCGCCACGCGCCGUCUCUAUAAUUUCAGCAGCUCAUCCUUGCAUCGCGCAUCGUGUCGAUUUACAGAUGUGCGAAGCAAAGGAGCGUAGGUAUCGUCAGCAUCGUAAUUUGCAUCGCGAUAUCGAAUAUCGAUUGCGUAAUUCAUCACAAUGUAUGUAACGCGACGUCGUCGCUGCCCGGCUGCGAUUGCAAAUCGAUCUCGUGUGGUUAACUCUCAACCAUAUAGGAAGUAAUUAUUGUUAUAUAAUAUAUGUCUACCGGUUGGAGAGCGCAAAUAAGCUCUUAAAUGAUGACAUGGAUCAAGAGAUUAUUUAAUUACACCAAUAAUUUAAUCUUUUAAGAAUUACGAAUGUAAAAGCAAAAGUUAUCUCACGACUACAUUUAAAAAGUAAAGAUAAAAACUGUUAAAUGCUUAGAUAUAUUUUGGAACAUUUUGUGUGUCAAAUGUGUUUCGGAUAUAGGUAAAGUCAAGCUUCCUGUAUCUAAAUAGAGCAAGGUUAAUUGCAAUCUUCCUGUAUGUGACACGCUUUAUGAUGGAACUUGUUGAAUAGACUCGAGCAAAUCACCUUGGUAUUAGGGACAGAUGUUCCAAUAGUUUUUCGAAGGUCGAGGAAAAAACAAGGUUGCGAUAAUAUUUCUACGUGUGUGAAAUUUGUGUAUUACUCGUGUUAAAAGUAAUUAUAUACAUUCCUAUACACUUUUUUACAUUAAGUAUAGUUGAAAAAAAUUAAGUUUUAUUUUACAACAGUAUCCCUUCUUAUAUAAUAAUAAAAUAUAAAAGAUAAAUGACACCUAUGAAUGUUUUAUAGGUAAGAAAAGAAAUUGCAACUAUUGUGAAAUAAUCUAAUGAAAAGUAUUGUACAUAUAUGUACUCUAUAUUUUUUUAAUUAAUGCAUAUACAUAUGUAAGUUUUAAAAGUUUAAUAUUUAAAUUUAAACAGAGAUAUAAGAAUUAAUCUGUUAGUUUUGUAAUUUGCAUGCAUUGUCAAAGUAAUUAAAUGUACAUCUAUCUGUAAAGAUAUUAAUGAUUUUAAUACAUUUUUUCGUUCUAAACUACUUUUUAUCUUGUACUAUAGUUCUUGUACUUGUGGAAAAUGAAAAUAAUAUAUACAUGUAGAGAGAGAAAGAGAGAAAGAAAGAGACAGGGGGGGGGAGAGGGGGACUAGCAUACGCUAUGAAGGUCUUCGUCUAGCCCUAAUAAUUUAUUUUCAAUUUAAAUAUUUUAUGCUUAUUAUUCAAUAUAUAUGCGGAGAAGAAUCUCAUUCAUGUAAGGCCACAAUAAUUUGAAAUGCGCCAUUGCCGCUCGAUGUCACAGGCUUAUAACCGAGGCGCGGCUACAGAAAUAGCCCGUGACUCAAUAUUUAGGCAGUGUCGAUUUGCUGCAGUACGCUUUGGUCACGAAGCUUAGUCCCUUAGGUCGGCACGGUGGUACCGGCAACAGGAAAUUUGUCCAUUUAUUUUCGACUACGGCUAGACCGCAACAUUGAACAAUAAAAAUAUAACGAUCAAAUUAAGCUGAUAAUUGUAACAUUCGCGACACAAUUAAAUAUUAUAAUUUUUUUUUUUAAU